RNAcentral lists this long non-coding RNA (3679 nucleotides) under Sus scrofa (pig). RNAcentral's name for it is "lncRNA (ENSSSCG00045006126.1)". The record is from RNAcentral. Lineage: Eukaryota; Metazoa; Chordata; Mammalia; Artiodactyla; Suidae.
CUCAGAACGAGGCUUUCAUUUUUUUUUUUCUUUAAAUCUGUGUCAGUUCACAAAUGCCAGUCUGUAAGGGGCAUCAAACUGAAAAAUACAGGUUGAAAUAAAGUGGCUGAAGCCCAGGAAAAAGAGGCUAUUUCAGCAGUCUGAAGGGCUGAGCAGAGAGGCUUCUUUUCCCUAUAAUAAGGGUCAGAUCCUUGAAGAGCUGGCUUCAUGCGGAUACGUGAAUGAUGAGGCUGGCAGAGUCCUGGGCGAGAGAGCAGGACCCCAGUAAGGCCCAAUUCUGCCCUGGGAGUGGUAGUCAGUGGAAACUCAGGGUUCCAAGCUUCUCUUCUCAAAUGACUUGGAGGUUCUGUUUAUAGGUCAUUCUACCUGAAGGAUCCAUGUAUCAAGAUAGCAGCCGGACAGCAUGGACCAGGUUUAUACCUGGGGACAGUAAAGAGCAUCAUAUCUUGGCAAAACCAAGCAAAACAGAUGUGGGUUCUAAUUCUUCCUCUACCACGUGGCCAAAUUGCUUCCAUUUACAUCAUCUAGAGACAGCAAGGAAGCGUGUGAUUCUCAUGCCUGGAUUUGUCAUGUUGGGGGACUUGGACAAGGCAAUUUCUUUCACAGAUAGCAGUUUCCCUAUUUGGGAAAUAAAGCAUCCACCCUUUAAUAUAACUAUAAACUCUUGAGAAUGACCUCCAGAAAGUUAUGGGCCAGAUGAUCCAAUCAUGGUAAGUAACCCCAAAUUUUGUAAUUCAAUCAAUGUCACGUUCCUUUUUUUUUUUUUUUUUGGUCUUUUCCAGGGCCGCACCCAUGGCAUAUGGAGGUUCCCAGGCUAGGAGUCUAAUCAGAGCUGUAGCUGCUGGCCUACGCCAGAGCCACAGCAAUGUGGGAUCCGAGCCGCAUCUGUGACCUACACCCCAACUCACAGCAGUGCCAGAUCCUCAACCCACUGAGCGAGGCCAGGGAUCAAACCCACAACCUCAUGGUUCCUAGUCAGAUUCGUUAACCACUGAGCACGACGGGAACUCCUCAAGUUCCUUCUUAAUAUAAAUGCUCUUUGGAUUUAUAUAACACUUGUUUUAAAACAAUGCUUGGGACUCUUUUUUUUUUUUUUUUUUUUUUUUUUUUUUCUUUUUAAGGCCUCAUCCAUGGCAUUUGGAAGUUCCCAGGCUAGGGAUCGAAUCAGAGCUGCAGCUGCCAGCCUACGCCACAGCCACAGCAAUUUGUGAUCUGAGCCUCGUCUGCCACAUACAUCACAGUUCACAGCAAUGCCAGGUCCUUAAUCUCCUGAGCGAGGCCAGGGAUGAACCUGCAUCCUCAUGGAUACUAGUCAGAUUUGUUUCUGCUGAGCCACAACGGGAACACCCCAGGGACUUUUGCACUUGGCCUCUCUCCUAGAAAGAGAGGUCUGUCCACAUCUUGGUUUACCAUUGACCACUCAUUUCUCUUUCCAGAGGGUAAUCGUUCCACAAAGUUCCUUUGGAGAACUGACUGCCAUUCUUAGCUAUGCAUUUUAUUUAUUUAUUUAUUUUAAAUUUAUUUUUAUUAGACUAUAGUUGAUUUACAGUGUUGUGCCAAUUUCUGCUGUACAGCAAAAGUGACCCAGUCAUACAUAUAUAUGUAUAUAUUAUUUUUGUCAUACUAAAAAAAUCCAUUAUGUUCUAUCCCAAGAGACUGUAUAUAGUUCCCUGUACUAUACAGUAGGACCUCAUUGCUAAUCCAUUCUAAAUGUAAUAGUUUGCAUCUACCAACCCAAACUCCCCAUCUAUCCCUCUUUGUCCCUCUACCCCCAACUCUGGCAACCACAAGUCUAUCUAUGUCUGUGAGUCUGUUUCUGUUUUGUAGAUAGGUUCAUUUGUGCCAUAUUUUAGAUUCCAUAUAUAAGUGAUAUUAUAUGGUAUUUGUCUUUCUUUUUCUGACUUAAUUCACUUAGUAUAAGAAUCUCUAGUUGCAUCCAUGUUGCUGCAAAUGCAUUAUUUUGUUCUUUUUAUGGCUGAGUAGUAUUUCAUUGUGUAUAUAUACCACAUCUUCUUAAUCCAUUCAGCUAUGCAUUUUAUUUAUUUAUUUAUUUUUAUCUUUUCAUCUUUUUUUCUAGGGCCACACUCAGGGCAUGUGGAGGUUCCCAGGCUAGGAGUCUAAUCGGAGCUGUUGCUGCCAGCCUAGGCCAGAGCCACAGCAACCCAGGAUCUGAGCUGCAUCUUCGACCUACACCACAGCUCACGGCAACGCCGGAUCCUUAACCCACUGAGCAAGGCCAGGGAUAGAACCUAUAACCUCAUGGUUCCUAGUCAGAUUUGUUAACCACUGUGCCAUGACGGGAACUCCUCAGCUACGCAUUUUAGGUAGGACUGACUCAUCUCUUAUUCCAGAGGUGGACUUUCCAGAGGUGGACUUUGAUAGGUGUGUGUUAAUCUAUGAAGCCUGUCUACCUAGCAACACAGUUGGUUUAGAAAUGGUCACGUGAUGCAGUUUAAGCCAAUGAGAAGCAAGGAGGCAUAUGCUGAGGUUCUGGGGAUGAAGGUAUCUCACAUUUUAAGGAAAGCUGAUGAGAGUGAAGUUCAUCCCAUCCCUGUUUAUAAAUAAAUAUGCAGACCUAAUGCUUCUGGCCACUAUCUGAGAUCCAUUUCAUAUUCUAAGAUGAUAAUAAGGUAGAAAGCACAGAGAAGAAAAAGAUAGAAAACAGGUCUUUGGUCAAAAUAUUGAGCUAUCAGCCACAGAAAGAUUGCCCUACCUCUGACUUUUGGAGGCAGUCAUCAGUAAAGUCCCCCAAUUAUCCAAGCACACUUGAUUAAUUCUGUUAUAUACAACCAGUCUAUUGAGUUCCGUGAUGAAGACUAUUUCAAACCUGAAUAUUCUUUCCUGCUUAUCAAACUCCAUUGCCACAAAUAGCUUUUCUGUUAGAUCAGUUUCACAGACAGAUCCCAGACACUUAGGCAAGUCUCCUCAUGUCAAACAGAGCCAUGUUUUGCUUUGUGUAUAGACGGUGAUUCUUAGCAAGAUAAUAAAAAAUGUUUAUGCAAUACCACAACUUAUUCCAGUUAAAUCCGUGUGACUCAGAGGCUUAGACAAAACUGUAGUUUGGUUAUUGGUAAUUGUCUAGCAAUCUACACAAAAUAGGAUUAUUUCCGAUCUGAGUAUCAGGGGGCUACAUAAGAUGAUUUAAGACUGUUCCAAAAGACACUUCCUUGAAACUUCAGUUUACGCCCCAUGUAACAUCAGAUCAGAGUUGCCAGAUCCAGAGAUUUCACAUGUGUCAUUUUGAUAUUUACCAUAUUCCUGACUAUUUUUUUUUUAUAAUAUAAGAAAGGCUUUCAAUCCCAUGCUCUGGAGCAGACAGCCUGGGUUUGAAUCCCACCUCUGCCACUUCUGGCAAUACACCCUUGUGUGAACUCAGAUUUUUCUCCCUCUGUGCUUCCAUUUUCUUCUUUGUGAAAUCCUUUGUGAAAUGAGGAUAACAGUUACCUAUAUCAAAGGGUCUUUGGAAGGAUUAAAUCCAUGACCACUUUAAAUCCUUAAAACCGUGCCUAGCGCUCAGCCAAUGUAGAUAUUUUUAGUGGUAUUUUAGAAAAUAUCCAAAUUAUGCGACAGCUCCUUACCUUAAAUGAUAUGAGCAUCCCAGCAGAAGUGUAGGCACUGUGCUAGGAAUUUUAUAUAAAGACAUUAUAUAUGAAGGCUUUACAUCCUCACAACAACCAUG